UCAGUUGUGAAAGUUUGCGGCUCAACCGUAAAAUUGCAGUUGAUACUGGAUGUCUUGAGUGCAGUUGAGGCAGGCGGAAUUCGUGGUGUAGCGGUGAAAUGCUUAGAUAUCACGAAGAACUCCGAUUGCGAAGGCAGCCUGCUAAGCUGCAACUGACAUUGAGGCUCGAAAGUGUGGGUAUCAAACAGGAUUAGAUACCCUGGUAGUCCACACGGUAAACGAUGAAUACUCGCUGUUUGCGAUAUACGGCAAGCGGCCAAGCGAAAGCGUUAAGUAUUCCACCUGGGGAGUACGCCGGCAACGGUGAAACUCAAAGGAAUUGACGGGGGCCCACACAAGCGGAGGAACAUGUGGUUUAAUUCGAUGAUACGCGAGGAACCUUACCCGGGCUUAAAUUGCACUCGAAUGAUCCGGAAACGGUUCAGCUAGCAAUAGCGAGUGUGAAGGUGCUGCAUGGUUGUCGUCAGCUCGUGCCGUGAGGUGUCGGCUUAAG
This 493-nucleotide ribosomal RNA is filed under the name uncultured bacterium. RNAcentral's name for it is "bacterial SSU rRNA". It matches the Rfam family "Bacterial small subunit ribosomal RNA", at positions 588 to 1084 of the family's 1533-position model. The record is from RNAcentral.